RNAcentral lists this ribosomal RNA (466 nucleotides) under uncultured bacterium. RNAcentral's name for it is "bacterial SSU rRNA". It matches the Rfam family "Bacterial small subunit ribosomal RNA", at positions 339 to 797 of the family's 1533-position model. The record is from RNAcentral.
UUACGGGAGGCAGCAGUAAGGAAUAUUGCACAAUGGGCGCAAGCCUGAUGCAGCCAUGCCGCGUGUAUGAAGAAGGCCUUCGGGUUGUAAAGUACUUUCAGCGGGGAGGAAGGGAGUAAAGUUAAUACCUUUGCUCAUUGACGUUACCCGCAGAAGAAGCGCCGGCUAACUCCGUGCCAGCAGCCGCGGUAAUACGGAGGGUGCAAGCGUUAAUCGGAAUUACUGGGCGUAAAGCGCACGCAGGCGGUUUGUUAAGUCAGAUGUGAAAUCCCCGGGCUCAACCUGGGAACUGCAUCUGAUACUGGCAAGCUUGAGUCUCGUAGAGGGGGGUAGAAUUCCAGGUGUAGCGGUGAAAUGCGUAGAGAUCUGGAGGAAUACCGGUGGCGAAGGCGGCCCCCUGGACGAAGACUGACGCUCAGGUGCGAAAGCGUGGGGAGCAAACAGGAUUAGAAACCCCUGUAGUCCG